This 1450-nucleotide ribosomal RNA is filed under the name microbial mat metagenome. RNAcentral describes it as "bacterial SSU rRNA". It matches the Rfam family "Bacterial small subunit ribosomal RNA". The record is from RNAcentral.
AGUCGAGGGGUAACAUGAGAGCUUGCUCUUGAUGACGACCGGCGCACGGGUGAGUAACGCGUAUGCAACCUUCCUUUAACAGGAGGAUAGCCCGGAGAAAUCCGGAUUAAUAUCCCAUGGUAUUUACGAAUCGCAUGGUUUGUAAAUUAAAGAUUUUAUCGGUUAAAGAUGGGCAUGCGUGACAUUAGCUAGUUGGCGGGGUAACGGCCCACCAAGGCUACGAUGUCUAGGGGUUCUGAGAGGAAGGUCCCCCACACUGGUACUGAGACACGGACCAGACUCCUACGGGAGGCAGCAGUGAGGAAUAUUGGUCAAUGGACGCAAGUCUGAACCAGCCAUGUCGCGUGCAGGAUGACUGCCCUAUGGGUUGUAAACUGCUUUUGUACGGGAAGAAAUAUACCUACGUGUAGGUAUUUGCCGGUACCGUACGAAUAAGCAUCGGCUAACUCCGUGCCAGCAGCCGCGGUAAUACGGAGGAUGCGAGCGUUAUCCGGAUUUAUUGGGUUUAAAGGGUGCGUAGGCGGAAUGGUAAGUCAGUGGUGAAAUCCUGCAGCUCAACUGUAGUUGUGCCAUUGAUACUGUCAUUCUUGAGUACAGAUGAGGUAGGCGGAAUGAGUAGUGUAGCGGUGAAAUGCAUAGAUAUUACUCAGAACACCAAUUGCGAAGGCAGCUUACUAAACUGACACUGACGCUGAAGCACGAAAGCGUGGGUAUCAAACAGGAUUAGAUACCCUGGUAGUCCACGCCGUAAACGAUGAUUACUGGUUGUUUGCGAUACACAGCAAGCGACUGAGCGAAAGCAUUAAGUAAUCCACCUGGGGAGUACGUCGGCAACGAUGAAACUCAAAGGAAUUGACGGGGGCCCGCACAAGCGGUGGAACAUGUGGUUUAAUUCGAUGAUACGCGAGGAACCUUACCUGGGUUUAAAUGGGAAGUGACAGGGGUAGAAAUACCUUUUUCUUCGGACACUUUUCAAGGUGCUGCAUGGUUGUCGUCAGCUCGUGCCGUGAGGUGUCGGGUUAAGUCCCAUAACGAGCGCAACCCCUGUUGUUAGUUACCAGCACAUAUGGUGGGGACUCUAACAAGACUGCCGGUGUAAACCGCGAGGAAGGUGGGGAUGACGUCAAAUCAGCACGGCCCUUACAUCCAGGGCUACACACGUGUUACAAUGGCCGGUACAAAGGGCAGCUACACAGCGAUGUGAUGCUAAUCUCGAAAACUGGUCCCAGUUCGGAUUGAAGUCUGCAACCCGACUUCAUGAAGCUGGAAUCGCUAGUAAUCGCGCAUCAGCCAUGGCGCGGUGAAUACGUUCCCGGGCCUUGUACACACCGCCCGUCAAGCCAUGGAAGCCGGGAGUACCUGAAGUAUGUAACCGCAAGGAGCGUCCUAGGGUAAAACUGGUGACUGGGGCUAAGUCGUAACAAGGUAGCCGUACCGGAAGGUGUGGCUG